GAUGAACGCUGGCGGCGUGCCUAAUACAUGCAAGUCGAGCGAACGGACGAGAACUUUGCGUCUCUGAUGUUAGCCGCGGACGUGUGAGUAACAUGUGGAUAACCUACCUAUAAGACUGGGAUAACUGCGGGAAACCGGAUCUAACACCGUAUAAUAUCUUGAACCGCAUGGUUCAAAAGUGAAAGACGGUCUUGCUGUCACUUAUAGAUGGUCCCGCGCUGCAUUAGCUAGUUGGUAAGGUAACGGCCUACCAAGGCAAGGAUGGAUAGCCGACCUGAGAGGGUGAUCGCCCACACUGGAGCUGGUACGCGGUCCAGACGCCUACGGUAGGCAGCAGUAGGGAAUCUUCCGCAAUAGGCGAAAGCCUGACGGAGCAACGCCGCGUGAGUGAUGAAGGUCCUCGGAUCGUAAAACUCUGUUACUAGGGAAGAACAUAUGUGUAAGUAAAUGUGCAGAUCUUGACGGUACCUGAUCAGAAAGCCCCGGCUAACUACGUG
RNAcentral lists this ribosomal RNA (497 nucleotides) under uncultured bacterium. RNAcentral describes it as "partial 16S ribosomal RNA". It matches the Rfam family "Bacterial small subunit ribosomal RNA", at positions 28 to 507 of the family's 1533-position model. The record is from RNAcentral.